This 253-nucleotide ribosomal RNA is filed under the name uncultured bacterium. Its description in RNAcentral is "partial 16S ribosomal RNA". It matches the Rfam family "Bacterial small subunit ribosomal RNA", at positions 524 to 776 of the family's 1533-position model. The record is from RNAcentral.
UACAGAGGGUGCAAGCGUUAAUCGGAAUUACUGGGCGUAAAGCGUGCGCAGGCGGUUAUAUAAGACAGAUGUGAAAUCCCCGGGCUCAACCUGGGAACUGCAUUUGUGACUGCAAGGCUAGAGUACGGCAGAGGGGGAUGGAAUUCCGCGUGUAGCAGUGAAAUGCGUAGAUAUGCGGAGGAACACCAAUGGCGAAGGCAAUCCCCUGGGCCUGUACUGACGCUCAUGCACGAAAGCAUGGGGAGCAAACAGG